CCUACGGGAGGCAGCAGUGAGGAAUAUUGCUCAAUGGACGAGAGUCUGAUCCAGCCAAGUAGCGUGAAGGAUGAAUGCCCUCUGGGUUUUAAGCUUCUUUUAUAUGGGAGUAAAAUGUUCCACGUGUGGCAUUUUGUAUGUACCAUAUCAAUAAGGAUCGGCUCACUCCGGGCCAGCAGCCGCGGUACUACGGAGGGUCCGAGCGUUAUCCGGAUUUAUUGGGUUUAGAGGGAGCGUAGGUGGAUUGUUAAGUCAGUUGUGAAAGUUUGCGGCUCAACCGUAAAAUUGCAGUUGAAACUGGCAGUCUUGAGUACAGUAGAGGUGGGCGGAAUUCGUGGUGUAGCGGUGAAAUGCUUAGAUAUCACGAAGAACUCCGAUUGCGAAGGCAGCUCACUGGACUGCAACUGACACUGAGGCUCGAAAGCGUGGGUAUCAAACAGGAUUAGAUACCCUGGUAGUC
RNAcentral lists this ribosomal RNA (460 nucleotides) under uncultured bacterium. Its description in RNAcentral is "partial 16S ribosomal RNA". It matches the Rfam family "Bacterial small subunit ribosomal RNA", at positions 338 to 795 of the family's 1533-position model. The record is from RNAcentral.